AUAGCUGUUUAGUUUAUUGGGACAUUAGUGUGCCAUGGGUCAUACAAAAAACUGAUGCUACGAUCGUUACCCACUUGCCAUGGCUCCUACCCAAGCCCAGUCCAAAUAUUUUACUCCGGCUUCAAAUCAGGCAUAGUCUAAAAAAUUUUAGUAAAAGAGAAAUACUUUGUGCACCGUGGGCGGUGCGGCACCACACGUACCAUUCGUUUGUGAUGAUUGUCCCACAAAUAGGGUCGGAAGAAAAAAAAUUUUUUUUUUUCAGAUGCCACACUCCGGCUCUGCACAUGUGCUAAUCACCAUCGGUGGUGCGCACCGCCCGCGGUGCACAAAGCAUUUCUCUUUAGUAAAAUUUCUCAAUCAGGAUUGAGACUAACCCAAAACAAGCUGACCCAAAUUAGUCAGUCUGGGCAUUUCAUCUCGAUGGCUCUGGAGACAAGCCGGGCGGC
RNAcentral lists this long non-coding RNA (446 nucleotides) under Elaeis guineensis (African oil palm). Its description in RNAcentral is "long non-coding RNA (EGUI_LNC004905)". Lineage: Eukaryota; Viridiplantae; Streptophyta; Magnoliopsida; Arecales; Arecaceae. The record is from RNAcentral.